RNAcentral lists this long non-coding RNA (445 nucleotides) under Erythranthe guttata (spotted monkey flower). RNAcentral's name for it is "long non-coding RNA (EGUT_LNC000574)". Lineage: Eukaryota; Viridiplantae; Streptophyta; Magnoliopsida; Lamiales; Phrymaceae. The record is from RNAcentral.
AUCUCUUCUCUGCCAUCCGCCAUGGGCAUCUCCGUAUCAUACACCACACUUGCAAUGAAUGCACCAAAGACGAAGAAGCAGCAGCCACAGAAGCCUAUAAAGCUAUAACGGUGGGCUACUAUCGAGAGAAGCCGGAGAAGAAGCCAAGAAAGUGCAAAAAAUAAAUUUUUUUUCGUAUUUUUUCUUUUGAAAAGCUCUAUUUAUUAUGUUUUUUUCUGUAAAUUUCCAUGAGAGCAAAUAUUUUUUUGGAUUUUCACGGGUUGUUGAUGGGUUUUGCAGAAAAAUAAUGGGCUUGAAUCUUAGGUAUUUUUCACUGUUUUUGUUUUUUCUUGAUCUAGGUCAGAAGAGAGUUGAUGCUCAGAUUUGGGUUUUUUUUUUUCUUUUUCUUUGGGGAGAACUUGGUGCUCCGGAAUUAUAGAUAAGAAUGAGUUUAAAUAUGUUCUAC